Linepithema humile (Argentine ant) is the source of this 266-nucleotide long non-coding RNA. RefSeq lists it as uncharacterized. The record is from RefSeq and is a predicted model, not a curated record. Lineage: Eukaryota; Metazoa; Arthropoda; Insecta; Hymenoptera; Formicidae.
CUUGUGAUAAAUUUUAUUCGCCGCAAACAAUCCUAAAAGUGCAUUACGAAUACGACUUUUCAUCAGGAGUAUCUAGUAAAAAAGCAGUAUUCAUAUAUUUUUUGAUGCAGUUGAUGCGGAGGAAAAUCUAUGGUGGAAUCUGCAGCAGGCACAUCUAAUGGCAUAGCUAAGAUACAACGGCUGAUAAGCUUUUGUGCUACGUGUCCAAAAAAGCGUUCGUCAUAUCGUUAGAUUUGUUCGGAAGUAUUAAUGUCGGGAGUGUCGUG